GGUGGGCCUAAACAUGCAGUCGAACGGCAGCACAGGAGAGCUUGCUCUCUGGGUGGCGAGUGGCGGACGGGUGAGGAAUACAUCGGAAUCUACUCUGUCGUGGGGGAUAACGUAGGGAAACUUACGCUAAUACCGCAUACGACCUACGGGUGAAAGCAGGGGACCUUCGGGCCUUGCGCGAUUGAAUGAGCCGAUGUCGGAUUAGCUAGUUGGCGGGGUAAAGGCCCACCAAGGCGACGAUCCGUAGCUGGUCUGAGAGGAUGAUCAGCCACACUGGAACUGAGACACGGUCCAGACUCCUACGGGAGGCAGCAGUGGGGAAUAUUGGACAAUGGGCGCAAGCCUGAUCCAGCCAUACCGCGUGGGUGAAGAAGGCCUUCGGGUUGUAAAGCCCUUUUGUUGGGAAAGAAAUCCAGCUGGCUAAUACCCGGUUGGGAUGACGGUACCCAAAGAAUAAGCACCGGCUAACUUC
Molecule: ribosomal RNA, 472 nt
Filed under: Stenotrophomonas maltophilia
Lineage: Bacteria; Pseudomonadati; Pseudomonadota; Gammaproteobacteria; Lysobacterales; Lysobacteraceae
Description: bacterial SSU rRNA
Rfam family: Bacterial small subunit ribosomal RNA
Source: RNAcentral